This is a non-coding RNA of Sus scrofa (pig), 502 nucleotides long. NCBI's taxonomy places the organism in Eukaryota, Metazoa, Chordata, Mammalia, Artiodactyla, Suidae. The record is from RefSeq and is a predicted model, not a curated record.
GGUAGGGGUCCGUUAUGCUCCUGGUCUGCUGGCUUUCCAAAUAAAGUCACUCUUCCUUGUCCCGACAGCUCGUUGUGCAACAAGCAGUAUGAGCUUGGACUUGGAAACACAUUUAGGCACAUCCAGCCAGGAGCCAUGCCUAUCAGAGAUGGCUAGCCCCCAGGUGGGGAAUUUUUGAGUAAGGCCCUAGCAGCUGCCCAUACCUCUCGUCCCAGAGGAUCUUCCCUUCAAUAUUCUCCAAAGUGGCACCAGCUGCUCCCGCGCUUGGGCGUUGGAGCAGGGAAUCAAUUUGAGAGACAGCGGGCUCCCUAUAGCAGGAUAUAAUCGUAGUAGCUGGAGCAGUCAUCUUGUACCACAAAAUGAAUGAUGAAGUCUGAGGAUGGCAAAGCAGCAAGACAGAACAAGCCUGGAUUCCUUAUUAUAACUGGAACUACAAUGCUCCCCACCUAGACUUUUACAUAGGAGGAAAUAAACUUUUACUAUGAUUAAUCCAUUUCCAUUA